CCUACGGGUGGCAGCAGUGGGGAAUAUUGGACAAUGGGGGAAACCCUGAUCCAGCGACGCCGCGUGAGUGAAGAAGUAAUUCGUUAUGUAAAGCUCUAUCAGCAGGGAAGAAAAUGACGGUACCUGAGUAAGAAGCCCCGGCUAACUACGUGCCAGCAGCCGCGGUAAUACGUAGGGGGCCAGCGUUAUCCGGAUUUCCUGGGUGUAAAGGGAGCGUCGACGGUAGUGCAAGUCUGUAGUGAAAGGCUGGGGCUCAACCCCCGGACUGCACUGGAAACUGUACGGCUGGAGUACAGGAGAGGUAAGCGGAAUUCGUAGUGUAGCGGUGAAAUGCGUAGAUAUUAGGAGGAACACCAGUGGCGAAGGCGGCUUACUGGACUGUAACUGACGUUGAGGCUCGAAAGCGUGGGGAGCAAACAGGAUUAGAUACCCUAGUAGUC
This 440-nucleotide ribosomal RNA is filed under the name uncultured bacterium. Its description in RNAcentral is "partial 16S ribosomal RNA". It matches the Rfam family "Bacterial small subunit ribosomal RNA", at positions 338 to 795 of the family's 1533-position model. The record is from RNAcentral.